UCCGUAGGUGAACCUGCGGAGGGAUCAUUACACAAAAUGAAGCGGGCUGGAACCUCUCGGGGUUACAGCCUUGCUGAAUUAUUCACCCUUGUCUUUUGCGUACUUCUUGUUUCCUUGGUGGGUUCGCCCACCACUAGGACAAACAUAAACCUUUUGUAAUUGCAAUCAGCGUCAGUAACAAAUUAAUAAUUACAACUUUCAACAACGGAUCUCUUGGUUCUGGCAUCGAUGAAGAACGCAGCGAAAUGCGAUAAGUAGUGUGAAUUGCAGAAUUCAGUGAAUCAUCGAAUCUUUGAACGCACAUUGCGCCCUUUGGUAUUCCAAAGGGCAUGCCUGUUCGAGCGUCAUUUGUACCCUCAAGCUUUGCUUGGUGUUGGGCGUCUUGUCUCUAGCUUUGCUGGAGACUCGCCUUAAAGUAAUUGGCAGCCGGCCUACUGGUUUCGGAGCGCAGCACAAGUCGCACUCUCUAUCAGCAAAGGUCUAGCAUCCAUUAAGCCUUUUUUUCAACUUUUGACCUCGGAUCAGGUAGGGAUACCCGCUGAACUUAAGCAUAUCAAUAAGCGGAGGA
This 568-nucleotide ribosomal RNA is filed under the name Alternaria longipes. RNAcentral's name for it is "eukaryotic LSU rRNA". The stretch from base 194 to 347 matches the Rfam family "5.8S ribosomal RNA". The record is from RNAcentral. Lineage: Eukaryota; Fungi; Ascomycota; Dothideomycetes; Pleosporales; Pleosporaceae.